RNAcentral lists this ribosomal RNA (1227 nucleotides) under Peronospora bulbocapni. RNAcentral's name for it is "partial 28S ribosomal RNA". It matches the Rfam family "Eukaryotic large subunit ribosomal RNA", at positions 86 to 1106 of the family's 3401-position model. The record is from RNAcentral. Lineage: Eukaryota; Oomycota; Peronosporomycetes; Peronosporales; Peronosporaceae.
ACGGCGAGUGAAGCGGGAUGAGCUCAAGCUUAAAAUCUCCGUACAAGUUUUGUACGGCGAAUUGUAGUCUAUAGAGGCGUGGUCAGCGUGGGCGCUUGGGGCAAGUUCCUUGGAAGAGGACAGCAUGGAGGGUGAUACUCCCGUUCAUCCCUGAGUGGCUCGUGCGUACGACCCGUUUUCUUUGAGUCGCGUUGUUUGGGAAUGCAGCGCAAAGUAGGUGGUAAAUUCCAUCUAAAGCUAAAUAUUGGUGCGAGACCGAUAGCGAACAAGUACCGUGAGGGAAAGAUGAAAAGAACUUUGAAAAGAGAGUUAAAGAGUACCUGAAACUGCUGAAAGGGAACCGAAUCGUUUCCAGUGUCUAUAAUCCGUGGCAUAUUUCAUUGGCGAGUGUGUGCGUGCGUGUGCUGUGGCAGCGGCCUUUUGGCUGCGCUUGGCGCGUGUGGUGUGUGUGCUUGCUGGUGCCCUGUGCUGCGGUGGGACGUCAAUGUCAGUUCGUAUGCUGCGGGAAAUGGCUGCCGAGGAGGUAGGGCUUACGCUUGCGUUUGUCUGUUAUAUCUUGGUGGACGAGUCGUCGCGGUUGGGACUGAGGUGCCUACAACGUGCUUUUGAGUGGGUUUGUGUCUCCGUGUGUGCCGUGUGCGGAUAGCUUGCUAUGCGUGUGUGGUUAUGUGUGGAUUGAUACGGGCUUUAACUUGUUGCCGUUCGGGACGUUGACGAAAUGGAGCGAUCCGACCCGUCUUGAAACACGGACCAAGGAGUCUAACAUGUGUGCAAGUGUUAGGGUGUGGAAACCCCAGCGCGAAAUGAAAGUAAAGGGCAGCGCAAGCUGUCUGAGGUAGGAAACGUUGCGGGCUUCGGUCUGCGGCGUGGCACUAUCGACCGAUCAUGAACCUUCGUGGUGAAAGAUUUGAGUUUGAGCACAUAUGUUGGUACCCGAAAGAUGGUGAACUAUGCCUGAGUAGGGUGAAGCCAGGGGAAACUCUGGUGGAAGCUCGUAGCGAUUCUGACGUGCAAAUCGAUCGUCAAACUUGGGUAUAGGGGCGAAAGACUAAUCGAACCAUCUAGUAGCUGGUUCCCUCCGAAAUUUCCCUCAGGAUAGCAGCAACUUAUUUACGAUAGUUUUAUGAGGUAAAGCGAAUGAUUAGAGGAUUCGGGGAAGAAACUUUCUCGACCUAUUCUCAAACUUUAAAUCUGUAAGACCUGCAGGUUUCUUAAUUGAACUUGUGG